GGCCUUAAUUCAUAGUUUGGAUAUGCAAGCAAUACAAGCAAUCAGGAGAAAAGCUAUCUGUGCUUCAAGUACAUCAAAGGAUAAAUGUGAAGAUAGUUGCUAGUUCUUCCUUGGUGGAUGAUGAGAUGAAGUGAUGUCUCAUAUAAUUAGAGGAGAAGAUUGCCCGACUCAUUAAAAUCAUCUUCAGAUUGACGAUACCUUCAAUGCAAGCACAAAUGCCAGCAACUUCUGUUAUGAAGCUAUUUUCUAUGUUUAGCAAUGAAGAUCCUCUAU
This 273-nucleotide long non-coding RNA is filed under the name Elaeis guineensis (African oil palm). RNAcentral describes it as "long non-coding RNA (EGUI_LNC077081)". Lineage: Eukaryota; Viridiplantae; Streptophyta; Magnoliopsida; Arecales; Arecaceae. The record is from RNAcentral.